Molecule: non-coding RNA, 73 nt
Organism: Cordylochernes scorpioides
Lineage: Eukaryota; Metazoa; Arthropoda; Arachnida; Pseudoscorpiones; Chernetidae
Source: the annotation of a GenBank genome assembly
GUCCAGAGAUGGGAAUCGAACCCACAAUGUUCCGGUUACUGGGCAGAUGCCAUGUCCACUAAGCUACCCUGGA